AGGAACUCCAGAGGUCAAGUUUUAACUCUUUCUCCCAGACAUCCCCACCGGCGCCUCCCAGGGGCAGCCUAAAAUAUGGCCUUUUAUUGUUGGGAGAUCCUUGUCUGGAGGGGCUUCUUGGGGAGUGCCAGCAAGGCCCCAAGUUUCAGCCACCUUCAUGCUCUCCAGUUGACUCAUAUGUGGAGAAUUUACAUGCAUAAGAACUCAAGGAGGAAGGGAAUGAGAGCAGCUCCCAUCUUGGGUGCCAUCUCUGCAACUAGCUCUCCUCUCCCGUCCUUCACCCCCAGGGCAUCAGGGGCUUUGCCAGGACGAUGGUUCAGUGACUUUUAGACAAAUUGUCAGCUUGGGGAGUGCGGAGAGGAAGUUUACUGCACUUUAAACUUGUGGAAAGGUAGUGGAGAACAAGAUGAAUGGCCUCCAUCUUCUUCAGCUAGAGAGAUGCAAUGGAUGGUUGCCAUGUACAAGAGCCAUCCUGCCUGAAACUCAGGAAACACAAGGUCCCUGGUUGUGUAAUAUGAGUACACUUGAAAGUUCCUCGUCCUUAUCUGGCAACCCAGAUGGAUAAAUACUGGCCCUGAAGAUGCUUUUCUUAAAACUGAGCACAAGUGGCUGCAGAACAGAGCUUGGGAAGAACCAGUUAUUCUUCUGUCAGUUCAAAACUGGGGGCCCCUUCCCUCUAGCAUUCAUCCUCUGCUUGCCGGGGCAUAUCAAUUUCACCCAAAUCACGUGGACUAAGGUGGUGAUGGUGGGCUGUGGUAGGUAUGAUUUCCCCAAAGAAAAUUCAGAUGAAGUCACCAGAGGGAAGAAGGAAGAAUGGAUGUUUAUGCAAAAGACGCAGAUGUCCACAACAGUUCCCACAUGGGAAGAGAAUAAUCCAGGUUUAAGAGCCCUGGCUUGGGACCCCAGUGUCUGGGGAUGGAGUCCCAGCUCUACCAUUUACAAAUUGUGUGACCAUGGCUGGAUCAUGUCACCAGUCAGUAUGGGUCUGUGUCCCCAUUAACAAAUGGGAGUGAUGGUCCAGCAUUGUGGGCCUGAAUCAGAGUGACAGCACAUUGCAAAGGCACCAUGUAAGCUCCAGCAGGUGUGUCACAGCUACUUGUGGUGUCAUGAAAUCUGAAGUCUCUGAUCCAGUGAAUCAGCUUCUGAAUAUUUAAUCAAAGGAAAUUAAAACACUAACUCAGGAGUUCCCAUCAUGGUGCAGUGGUUAACGGAUCCGACUAGGAACCAUAAGGU
Sus scrofa (pig) is the source of this 1233-nucleotide non-coding RNA. The record is from RefSeq and is a predicted model, not a curated record. Lineage: Eukaryota; Metazoa; Chordata; Mammalia; Artiodactyla; Suidae.